GGGGUGCAGCAGGCGCGAAAACUUUACAAUGCGGGAAACCGUGAUAAGGGGACACCGAGUGCCAGCAUCCUAUGCUGGCUGUCCGGGUGUGUAAAAUACACCUGUUAGCAAGGGCCGGGCAAGACCGGUGCCAGCCGCCGCGGUAACACCGGCGGCCCGAGUGGUGAUCGUGAUUAUUGGGUCUAAAGGGUCCGUAGCCGGUUUGGUCAGUCCUCCGGGAAAUCUGACAGCUUAACUGUUAGGCUUUCGGAGGAUACUGCCAGACUUGGAACCGGGAGAGGUAAGAGGUACUACAGGGGUAGGAGUGAAAUCUUGUAAUCCCUGUGGGACCACCUGUGGCGAAGGCGUCUUACCAGAACGGGUUCGACGGUGAGGGACGAAAGCUGGGGGCACGAACCGGAUUAGAUACCCGGGUAGUCCCAGCCGUAAACGAUGCUCGCUAGGUGUCAGGCAUGGCGCGACCGUGUCUGGUGCCGCAGGGAAGCCGUGAAGCGAGCCACCUGGGAAGUACGGCCGCAAGGCUGAAACUUAAAGGAAUUGGCGGGGGAGCAC
This 552-nucleotide ribosomal RNA is filed under the name uncultured archaeon. RNAcentral describes it as "bacterial SSU rRNA". It matches the Rfam family "Archaeal small subunit ribosomal RNA", at positions 327 to 879 of the family's 1478-position model. The record is from RNAcentral.